RNAcentral lists this ribosomal RNA (873 nucleotides) under Palmaria palmata (dulse). Its description in RNAcentral is "eukaryotic LSU rRNA". It matches the Rfam family "Eukaryotic large subunit ribosomal RNA", at positions 193 to 1147 of the family's 3401-position model. Lineage: Eukaryota; Rhodophyta; Florideophyceae; Palmariales; Palmariaceae. The record is from RNAcentral.
GAAUGAAGCGCCAUGGAGGGUGAGAGCCCCGUCCAUCCCGCACAGGAUCCAUUCGUACAAGGACGCUUCAAUCGAGUCGGGUAGCUUGGGAAUGCUGCUCUAAUUGGUGGUAAAUCUCAUCAAAGGCUAAAUAGUGGUGGGAGACCGAUAGCGAACAAGUACCGUGAGGGAAAGAUGGAAAGAACUUUGAAAAGAGAGUGAAAAGCACUUGAAACCGUCACGGGGGAAGCGGAUUGCGUGAGUGAUGGUGUCGCUUGUUCAGCGCUUUAUUGCGUGCAUUCUGGCGGCGCCGUGCCGGCGUGGCUGGCUGGACUGUGAUUUUGACAGUCUCGGCUGGUGAGGGCUCCCUCGUAUGAGGUGAGGACGCGGGCAAAAUGACGCAAUACGACCCGUCUUGAAACACGGACCAAGGAGUCUAGCACGGCUGCGAGUCGAAGAGUGAUUAAACUCAAGGGCGCAGUGAAAGCGAAAUUAUAAGCAAAUUGGGGAGGCGUUGCGUUUUUAACAAAAUGUCCUACCUCGAGCAUUUGUGCUGGGACCCGAAAGAUGGUGAACUAUGCCGGAGUAGGGCAAAGCCAGAGGAAACUCUGGUGGAGGCUCGUAGCGAUGCUGACGUGCAAAUCGCUCGUCGAACUUGGGUAUAGGGGCGAAAGACUAAUCGAACCAUCUAGUAGCUGGUUCCCUCCGAAGUUUCUCUCAGGAUAGCGGGCCGACACGCGUUUGUUGUUUUGUGCGGUAAAGCGAAUGAUUAGUGCAUUUGGGGUACGAAGUACUUCGGGCGAUUCUCAAACUUUAAAUGCGCAAGGGGGUGGCUGCUUAAUUGAGCCUACUCUUUGAAAAACGUCGGCCCUGUGGGCCACUUUUGGUAAGCAG